RNAcentral lists this transfer RNA (72 nucleotides) under Pseudozyma flocculosa PF-1. RNAcentral describes it as "tRNA-Pro (CGG) (tRNA-Pro-CGG-1 1 to 3)". It matches the Rfam family "tRNA". Rfam says of the family: Transfer RNA (tRNA) molecules are approximately 80 nucleotides in length. Their secondary structure includes four short double-helical elements and three loops (D, anti-codon, and T loops). The record is from RNAcentral. Lineage: Eukaryota; Fungi; Basidiomycota; Ustilaginomycetes; Ustilaginales; Ustilaginaceae.
GGCUCUUUGGUCUAGAGGCAUGAUUUCUCUUUCGGGUAGAGGAGGUCGGGGGUUCGAUUCCCCCAAGAGCCC